UGUAAACAAGCAGUGGUGAAUUGUGGUCAUGGUGAUAGACCUGUUCUCUCUCCUUGGUCUUAAAGGCCUGGAAUACAUUCCUCUUUCUAUGGAUAUUUAUUGGGCUUUACUUCAAGCUGGAUUCUGGCAAUACAUUAAGAAGAUUCUCUGACCUUAGGGAAUUCAUAGUCUAUUGCGGCAUGCCAAUAUUUAGCCAAGUACUGCAUCCAACCUGGUUACCUAUCUAUAUUGACUGUCUGUCUUUAAUUCUUGCUUCACCAUAAUUGUUAUAAUUUUGUAAAUGAAGAAACUGAGGCACAAACUUCAGUACUUUUUCCAUCUUCCUGCAACUAUUAGUCAGUGAAUCUGGGCUGGGAACCCAGGCAGUCUGGCUCCAGACUCUUAAUUACUCCACUGCAGCAACAUUUUCUAUAGAAGGAAUCCAGGUCCUCAGGAAAUGGUACACAACAUCUCAAACAAUAUGCAAAAAGUUAAUUAAUCAGUUAAUAAAGAACUGUAUGCAAAACAACCAAGUACUGAUGCUGAGGAGAGAGUGAAAGAUAUGAUGCAUGAACAUUGCUGAAGUGACUUCAAAGUUGGAGUCCCUGGCACAUGGUUGGUGAGGUGCCACGCGGGUGGCAGCCACUGAAGUGCCCCUUGGAUCUCUUUUCAAGGGAAACUGCUUCAGGGAGGGUAGCUGGGGAGCAGUUUCCAGCUAUGCCCAUUCAGAUCCAUCCAAGUCUUCAUCUUCAUCCAGAGGCCAGGUCUCCAAUGACUUCUCCCAGAAGAUUCUCUAUCCAAGGCAGACUGCUCUGCUGGAGAACCUUUGCUCUGGCUCUCCCCAUUGGCCUGCAGUUAAUUUCCAGGUACUGAAUCUUGGAGAGUAGAAGAGGUUUUUUACCCUCCCACACAGGGGAUCUGCACAGAUCUGCCUCAGAACUUCAUGAUGGAACAAAUAGGAGCACCCAGCCUUUAUAGAACUCACACAGGCUGUGAUUUAAAACCAGUCCAGUUCCUCCAUUGCCACAACCUGGCCCUGAGGAAUGUUCCACGGCUCCUGACUGAGAAGCCAUAUUGUGAUGAAGUGUGGGGGAUGGCCCUGCACAACACCCUACAAAAGCCUCUCUAUUCUGCCUCAGGCUGAUUUCAUGAUGCUGGGGGUUUGGAGGAGGGACAAUGGCACCCCAAGAGCAACUGUUCAGAGAAGGUGAUUCCAUGGGACUCAAACUCAUUAGUUCAAGAGUGUAGCUCUUUCAUAAUCCAGUAUUACCUAGUGAUAAAACUCAACAUGCAGGCAAAUGAAAAAAACAAACAACCCAUUUAAUAGAUGGGUGCAUGAAAUGAACAGACCCUUUUCAAAAGAAGUACUGUAUUACCAGAUUCCUGGGACUCCAACAGACCUUCAGGAGCCGAAUCCAACGCAAUCACACAAGAGUCUUUAUUGCAAGCUUGAGCCUGGACUCACAACAGUUUCUGAAGCAGCUCACUUCCCAGGAAGUGAGCCCUGGUCCUAUGUUCAAUGAGAUUUUAUAGGUUUUGGGGGAUACUCUAUGAGUCACAACAUCACACAGCAAAUCAUUCCACACCACAGGAAAUUUAAACAACAACUCUUAGCAUUGAUUAGCACAUUCACUGGUGGGAACAAGUUGGGUAGGGGUGAUUGGUUAGUACACGAGGGGAAUUUGUUUGAACGGAUUGGUUUAAUCCAUGAGGGGUGUAUGUGCUAAACUACAUGGUUUCCUAACAUAUUAUCAACCACCAUAAACUACUGGGGGGUCAUCUGGUAUCCCAGGUAUUUCCCUGUCUCAUGCUGAUUGAUGGUUGCUAGGAAGUUGUUAUGGGUCCUCACCUAGCCUAACUGAGUCAGGGACACCUGGCACCACAGAUCUCUCCUGUUAUUUGCAGACAAACAACUCAGCAGGGUGGCUAUCUGCCUCCUCAGGCUCUGUGGGUUUUUCCAGGGACAAGGGUCACACCCAUUCCUUGGAUAGGCUUUGCUCUGAGGUAGAGAUUGUUUUUUUUUUUUUUUGUAUUGAGAAACUGAUGUGAUGGGGUCACAUCAGUUUCUCAAUACAAAUGGCCAACAAUUAUAUGAAAAUUACAUGACAUCUUUAGCUGUCUGGGAAAUACAAAUCAAAACCACUCUAGGAUUCCAUCUCACUCCAGUGAGAAUCAUCAAGAAUACAAGCAACAUGCUGGGUGCCUGUGAUUCUACUCAGGAGGCUGAGGCAGGACAAACGCAGGUUCGAGGCCAUCCUGGGCAACUUAGACCCUGCCUCAAAAUAAAAAAUCAAAAUGAUUGGAGAUGUAAAGCAUUCCUGGGUCAGGUCCCCAGUAGCAAACAAAACAACAAGCAACAAUAAAUGCUGGUGAAGAUUCAAGGAAGAAAGAACUCUUACGUACUGUUGGUGGUGGGAAUGUAAGUUAGUGUUAGAGUCUGUAAACAAGUCAAAAUAACACCUGGCAUUUUGCCAGGGGAAUGUUAGAGUUCGUAAACAAGUCUGGAUGGUGCCUGGCAAAAUGCCAGAGGGAGUGGUUUGAGAAGUAACAAAAGCGAGCCAUUAAGUGUGGAGAUUCCUGAUUGGUUGACUGAUGUAUCUAGUUUAUGUUAAUUAGAUAAGCUGUAUGGAAUGUAUAAAUACUGCUCCUGUCCUGCAAUAAACGGCUUCCACUCCUGCUGUA
Long non-coding RNA from Marmota monax (woodchuck), 2661 nucleotides. RefSeq lists it as uncharacterized. NCBI's taxonomy places the organism in Eukaryota, Metazoa, Chordata, Mammalia, Rodentia, Sciuridae. The record is from RefSeq and is a predicted model, not a curated record. The transcript is spliced from 3 exons.